RNAcentral lists this ribosomal RNA (301 nucleotides) under uncultured bacterium. RNAcentral describes it as "partial 16S ribosomal RNA". It matches the Rfam family "Bacterial small subunit ribosomal RNA", at positions 509 to 809 of the family's 1533-position model. The record is from RNAcentral.
CAGUCGCCGCGGUAAUACGAAGGGGGCUAGCGUUGUUCGGAUUUACUGGGCGUAAAGCGCACGUAGGCGGACUUUUAAGUCAGGGGUGAAAUCCCGGGGCUCAACCCCGGAACUGCCUUUGAUACUGGAAGUCUUGAGUAUGGUAGAGGUGAGUGGAAUUCCGAGUGUAGAGGUGAAAUUCGUAGAUAUUCGGAGGAACACCAGUGGCGAAGGCGGCUCACUGGACCAUUACUGACGCUGAGGUGCGAAAGCGUGGGGAGCAAACAGGAUUAGAUACCCCAGUAGUCCCUGUCUCUUAUAA